Acanthosepion pharaonis is the source of this 114-nucleotide non-coding RNA. Lineage: Eukaryota; Metazoa; Mollusca; Cephalopoda; Sepiida; Sepiidae. The record is from the annotation of a GenBank genome assembly.
UUACGGUAAUAUCACGUUGAAACACCGGUUCUUGUACGAUAACCAAAUUUAAGCAACAUAGAGCCUGGUCAGUAGCUAGAUGGGUGACCGCUUGGGAAUACCAGGUGCUGUAAG